GGAUUUGAUUCUGUUUCAUGUUUUACAGUUAGUAUUGUUUUAUUUAUUUAUUUUUUGUUUUCGCAUUAGUGUGGUAAAACAUGUUAUUUUAUUUAUCUUUUAUACCUUAAAACCAUCACAACGGUCAAGAUUCCACUUUUUGAACCACUUGAUACACUCUUUGUUCAAUUUUGGAAUUUUACACUUGCUCGGGUAAGUCAGGUAUCAAAAUUAGCGCGAGCAGUUAAACAACAACUUUGCCCCCUUGUGAAACAAAUAAUAGAUUAAAUUAUGUAUGGUCUCUAUAAAUAAAACAUUGUUGUUGCAGGACAAACUCCACAGAAGAGGCCAGGAAGUAGACCCGAACCUUACCAAUGUGCUCACUGUAAAUUUACAACAGCCAGAAAAACCUCUUUGAUACGUCAUGUACAGACUCAUUCUGAAAACACCAUUUUCAGACAUGGCCAGUGUACUAAUGCCAGUGCAUACAAAGACUUAUCCACGAAAAUGUCAAAAAAUCAAAGUAAUUUUUAAACUGUUAUUGCAGCUAAACCAAGCAAGCGAGAGCAACCAAAUAAAUUCAGAAUUAAGAAGCAUAAAAUGGGGUUCAUAAUGCAUAUUUUUACAGACAUUCAUUUCCUUGAACCAGUGUUUUUUUUUCUGCUCCAUUUUUGAAACGCUAAUCGACUUAUAAUUAUUUAUUAAAACUCUCUAUGUUUUUACUAUACUAUUUCUACUGUUUUAUUAUUAUUGAACUCUAACAACAUUUUGGUGGUAACUACUGGGAAAAAAAUCCCGAUAGUUACCACCAAACCGAGUUGGUGGUAACUAGUGGGAUUUUUUUAUCCCAGUAGUUACCAGUGGUAAAGCAAAAGGUGGGAAAAAAAAAUCCCCGGAAGUUACCACUGGUAACAACUUGCUGGUAACUAGUGGGAAUAACCCUUUUUUUUGUAAAUUCGAUUUGAAGGUAUUGUAAAUGAUUUAUUACAUUAUGCCGGUUGUUGGUACAGAGGAAAAAACAUUCCUUAGGGAAGUGGGGCGCCGCGUGCAUAAAUGGGGCCUUCACCCAUGCUCCGGGUCAUUCCUGGUGCAAAGGCUGUCCAUCGCAAUUGAACGCCGUAACGCAGCGAGUGUGAUGGGCACCUUUGCGCCGGGGGUUGCGCGGGGAUGCCUCUUUCAAUAGUUUUUACAUUGCGUGUUUAAUUUUAUAUUUAAUUUAGAUUUAUUCACAGAUAUAUUUAGUUCAUAAGUUCUUUGUCUUUUUAUUACAUUGUUUUGUUGUAGCUGUAAUUGUACACGAAAUUGUAAUUUAAUUACUUAAAUAUUUUAGAUUAGGCUAAUUUAAUGUAUUGUACAGUCGCCAUCAGAUAUAUCGGAGCGGCCGAGGUGUUCACAAAUAUCUGAACACGCCUCUAUUGCGUGUUCAGAUAUUUUAGAGCACCUCGGCCGCUUCGAUAUGGCUGAUGGCGACUGUACAUUAAUUUAAAAAUAAACUGUAAAUAAUUUCAAUAGUUUUAGACGUUUUCUACUGUCCUUAUCUAGUUACAAAUACGGUGGUGGCAGAAUAACAGUGUUGCUGAAAGUCUUUAGGGCCGCUGUGCCCCGAGGCCUUUUGGCGCAGACGUUAGCUGAGCCUCUUUCCUUUUCAAUUAGUUUGUAAGCAUUAUUGUGUACUUUUAUUAUGUACCUAUAUUUAAACUUUUUGAAUCUUCUUUGCUUUGGCGCUGGUGGCCUAGCGGAAAAAGCGUGCGACUUGCAACAGCAAAUGCGGCAGCUCAAACCCCAGCUCGUACCAAUGAGUUUUUUGGAACUUACGUACAAAAUAUCAUUUGAUAUUUACCAGUCGCUUUUCGGAGAAAGAAAACAUCGUGAGGAAACUGGACUAAUCCCAAUAAGGCCUAGUUUACCCUCUAGGUUGAAAGGUUAGAUGGCAGUCGCUUUCGUAAAAACUAGUGCCUACGCCAAUUCUCGGGAUUAGUUGCCAAGCGGACCCCAGGCUCCCAUGAGCAGUGGCAAAGUGCCUAAGCUUGUAUAAACACUAUAAAUGGGUUUUUAUCUAUCUAUAGAGUAAACACUCUAAGCUUAACUAACUAUUCUAUAACUAUUCAGCCAUUUCAUGUGAAAUAAAUGUUUA
Long non-coding RNA from Cydia pomonella (codling moth), 2113 nucleotides. RefSeq lists it as uncharacterized. The transcript has 2 exons. NCBI's taxonomy places the organism in Eukaryota, Metazoa, Arthropoda, Insecta, Lepidoptera, Tortricidae. The record is from RefSeq and is a predicted model, not a curated record.